ACUACGGGAGGCAGCAGUGAGGAAUAUUGGUCAAUGGACGAGAGUCUGAACCAGCCAAGCAGCGUGAAGGAUGACUGCCCUAUGGGUUGUAAACUUCUUUUAUAUGGGAGUAAACUGUUACACGUGUGGGGUGUUGUAUGUACCGUACGAAUAAGGAUCGGCUAACUCCGUGCCAGCAGCCGCGGUAAUACGGAGGAUCCGAGCGUUAUCCGGAUUUAUUGGGUUUAAAGGGUGCGUAGGUGGUUUGUUAAGUCAGUGGUGAAAGGUUGGGGCUCAACCCUGAAAUUGCAUUUGAAACUGUCAGACUUGAGUACAGUAGAGGUGGGCGGAAUUCGUGGUGUAGCGGUGAAAUGCUUAGAUAUCACGAAGAACACCGAUUGCGAAGGCAGUUCACUAAACUGUAACUGACAUUGAGGCACGAAAGUGUGGGUAUCAAACAGGAUUAGAUACCCGGGUAGUC
This 460-nucleotide ribosomal RNA is filed under the name uncultured bacterium. RNAcentral describes it as "partial 16S ribosomal RNA". It matches the Rfam family "Bacterial small subunit ribosomal RNA", at positions 338 to 795 of the family's 1533-position model. The record is from RNAcentral.